Cyanistes caeruleus (blue tit) is the source of this 2082-nucleotide long non-coding RNA. The record is from Ensembl. Lineage: Eukaryota; Metazoa; Chordata; Aves; Passeriformes; Paridae.
GGAGCUUUCUCCCAUGGCACACUGUCAGAGGUGCCAGGACAUUUGUUUUCCAUACUUUAGGUCAUACCCCAGUAUUUCUUAAGCCUCAAGGUAGGCUUGCUGUGAGCUGAAGGUCCUGAAGCGACCAAGAGGGAAUGUUUCCAGUACUGCAUGGUAGCACCUUUGGCACAGGCUAUGAGCUCCCCCGGAGUCUUCUCUUGGCUUAGAACAAUGGCAAGUCCUGCAAAUAGAUUGAAGCCAAAUCUUUUACAGUCGCUGUUACUGAAAGUUUGUGUGUCAGGUUUGGCUCCUCAGAGCAGGCACUCUGCUGUCACAGGAUUAAGUCCAGAGCAGAGCAGUAAUUCAUGGUGUUGGCUUUCCUGGGACAAAGGCCCUCAGUUAAGCGUGACUGCAGCAAUCAGCUCUUCUACCCUUUAAUUGCCAGAGCUCAGAUGUAGGGUGUGAGAGGAUGAGGGCUGAGGGGAGCUCCUUGCCUGGGGUACUCUUCCCCAGCAUCCUCGUCCUUUCUGCUGCCCACUGUAUUUUCAAGAUUGUCAUGGCUCUUUUAUGUAAUUUUAACACACAGAAAUGACUUGCUCAUAGCAAUCAGUUGUACCAGGGAAGGAUACGGAGGCGACACAUUGAGUAGCUGAGUGGAAAUCAGAUUGAAGAGACGGCUCCAGCCCACACCUCUCCGUGGCUCCUGGGGAUGUUUAUCCCUGUUUUAGCUGCUAUUUUCCCUACGUGCUCCUUGGUGUUGGUCGCAGGGCCGUAACUCUGUGGCAUAGCUCUUCAUCAUUCAUUGCAGACCUUCCAAUUCCUGCAGUAAAGAGCUCUGCAGGCAGCAGCUCACUUUCCUGUCCAGCCUGCAGCAUGGCCACCCUCAGUAUCACCUGAAUUAAUGCUUAACGAGAGGCACUUAAUGGCCCCAGACCUGCUGAGCAUCCUCCCUUUCAGCAGUGUCCUCGGGUCCAGCAGCUGGGGUGCCUGAUGCCUCCUGUCCCUCCAGGUCUCCCCAAAGACUCCAAGGCUUCACUUGCACUGAAGGUCCGAAGCUGACCUUCCAAUUGCACUGGAUGGGGUAAUAUUCCUCCUUGCCUUGGAUCUUCCAGAUACCUCCUAAGUGCCCCAGAGAGAGGCAGAGAGGGAUUAGAGACCCCAUGGCUUUUCUAGGAUCUCUGUUCAUCUCAGUGAAGACCUGGCUCUGCACCUGCACUUUCCUGGUUCUCAUCAUUGAGCUGUACAGCUCCUCUCACACCGUGCAGCUGAUGGCAUUGUGAUCAAGAGGUGGCUUCUGCUGUGUCUCUGGAAGAUUUACAUGUAGUUUUCAGCUAUCACAGAGGAAACAGAUUUUUUCCUGUCACUGAAGUAGAAUUAAUAUUGGACACUGCACUUACCCCUGAGAUAUUUUAAUGCUUUGAAGUUCAAGAUCAUUAACAUUCUCAGCAACAAUUAUAUAUCCUUUGAAAAGGAGACCCUGUUCAAACCUUUGGACCUUUAUAAUGCCUGUUCCUGUAAAGCUAUCUGAGAAGUGAUCUCUUUGAUAUAUAUGGGAUUGAGAUCAUUACCUGCCCAACUCUUCUGUCGGGCCCGUUUGCCUUUGGCUCUGAAGGGUUUGCCCAAGAUCCUGACAGUGGUGGCCACACAUUUCAGGCAUCAGCAGCUGAAGGAGCAGCUCCCCAGAGCAGCAUGUGGUGAUCUGCAGGUCGCUCAGUGACCUUCUGGCUUGUGAGAGCUCAUGUGAGAGAUGCAAAACUCUGCCCCGACUCCAGUUCAGGUCUUGGGGUUCAUAGAGGCUGCUCUGGACUCUGUAGGGAUCAGUUGCCUUGCAUUUAAUUGCAGAUGUUCAUUGUGCUCUGUAUAGGGUGUCUAAUAGACAUCUGACCUUGGGGUUCUUUGGAGAGGUCGAGGGAUGUUGUGCUGGUGAGCAGGAACAGCCACUGCUCUGGUUUUAUAUUGCAAAGUGCCCAAAGGGAAAUUGCUCUAGUCUCAACCAGGGCCAAGUAAGGUGCACAUUAGGUAUUUGCUUGGCACAUAGCAAAAUUAGAAUGGUAAGCAACAGAGUAGAAUAAAAUAGGGUAGAAAAUAAAAUAUUUUGAGUUG